AUAUCAAUAAGCGGAGGAAAAGAAACCAACAGGGAUUGCCCUAGUAACGGCGAGUGAAGCGGCAACAGCUCAAAUUUGAAAUCUGGCUUCGGCCCGAGUUGUAAUUUGUAGAGGAAGCUUUAGGCGCGGCACCUUCUGAGUCCCCUGGAACGGGGCGCCAUAGAGGGUGAGAGCCCCGUGUAGUUGGAUGCCUAGCCUGUGUAAAGCUCCUUCGACGAGUCGAGUAGUUUGGGAAUGCUGCUCAAAAUGGGAGGUAAAUUUCUUCUAAAGCUAAAUACCGGCCAGAGACCGAUAGCGCACAAGUAGAGUGAUCGAAAGAUGAAAAGCACUUUGAAAAGAGGGUUAAAUAGCACGUGAAAUUGUUGAAAGGGAAGCGCUUGUGACCAGACUUGCGCCGGGCCGAUCAUCCGGUGUUCUCACCGGUGCACUCUGCCCGGCUCAGGCCAGCAUCGGUUCUCGCGGGGGGAUAAAGGCCCGGGGAAUGUAGCUCU
RNAcentral lists this ribosomal RNA (491 nucleotides) under Myceliophthora sp. F.2.1.4. Its description in RNAcentral is "eukaryotic LSU rRNA". It matches the Rfam family "Eukaryotic large subunit ribosomal RNA", at positions 40 to 543 of the family's 3401-position model. The record is from RNAcentral. Lineage: Eukaryota; Fungi; Ascomycota; Sordariomycetes; Sordariales; Chaetomiaceae.